This 598-nucleotide long non-coding RNA is filed under the name Phoenix dactylifera (date palm). RNAcentral's name for it is "long non-coding RNA (PDAC_LNC020923)". Lineage: Eukaryota; Viridiplantae; Streptophyta; Magnoliopsida; Arecales; Arecaceae. The record is from RNAcentral.
CCAAGAGGGGGGUGAAUUGGGUGUUUUAAAGUUUUUGUCUAAUAAAACACACAAAUGUAUGAGCUAAAGUAAAAAUAAAGGUAUGAAAACACACAAUCACAAACACAAGCUUUUAUAGUGGUUCGGAGCUUCCACUGCUCCUACAUCAACUCCCCAAAGCACCUUUGGGAAUUUCCACUAUAAUCCAAGAUUACAGUACGGUAGUUUUGCGAGUGCACUACCCAACUCGUUGUUUUACACCGGACUAACAACGAAUCCUAAAAUUCCCAAUUUCACCUAGGCUUGAGACGCCUUUCCCUUGUUCCAAGUUCCUUGACUGGAACAAGCACAAUAUUGAAAAAGUUUUACAAAAGGUUUGAAAGCUCUAAAUAAGCAAAUAUAACAAUGAUAAACAAUGAAACCCGGAAGAACCCUUUUAGCCGUUGGAAGCGUGAGAAAUGGUGGUUCUUCCGAUGUGGAUCGCGUUGGCUUGAAUGUGAGCUUUGAAUGCCUAGCGGAAGAGAGUAGUUGAGCACGAAAUCACUUGGGAAGCUUGAAGGCACUUGAUUUCUUCACUUGAAUGCACUAACUCCCUUGAAUCUCUUUUUCUUUCUUCUCU